GAAAUUUUUAAAGGUAUUAUAUGAUUUGACUGUCAAGUUUUCUUACUGUACACUUGUUACUUCACAUGAGUUCUUGUUUAAUGUAAGUGUCAUUCAUAGAACAAUGAACACAUUGGUAAAAAGUUCAGAUCCAUUUCUCUCUGGUAUGGGCACUAAAAUGAUAGAAAAGUUCAAUAAGUAUUGGGGGAGAAUAUGAGAAAAUGAACACUCUCAUGUUCAUUGUUGUUUUUCUUGAUCCACGUGAGAAAAUGAAAGGUUUAAAUUUUAUUCUUGAUACUUUAGAUAUCACGGGUCCGUCAUUACAUAAGCACUUAUCGACUUACGUGAGAAAUGAUUUUCAAGAACUUUUCGAAGAGUACAAGUGUCUCUAUGCAAAUGAUGAAAACAUGUAUAGUUCCACAAGUGAUUGUGAUAAUGUUACUCAAUCUUCAGGGGUUACUGAUGAUGAAGAUUUCGUGUAUGCUAGUCUUAUAGCAUAGAGAGCAAGAGAAGAUGAGGAGGAUGACAAUGUUGAGGGGAAAACUGAGUUGGAGUUAUAUUUAGAGGAGAAACGUGAACCGAGAAUUAGCCCUACCGGUGUUCAGUUUGAAAUUUUAGGUUGGUGGAGGACUAAUAGUACAAGGUACCUGUAUUAUCACACAUGGCGAGAGAUAUACUAGCCAUACCAGUCUCUUCUGUUGCCUCGGAAUCUUCCUUUAGUACUGGAAGGCGAGUUAUUGAUCCAUAUCGAAGUUCACUGCUGCCUAAUACAGUUGAGGCGUUGAUUUGCACGCAAAGAUGGUUACGGACACCGGUUGAUCUUGAUCCAAACACCUUAGGAACCGAUAAUGCCGAAGAUGUUUCAGAAUUUUUAGGUUCUCUUGCAACUUCUAAGUUCAUCCGCAUUGACAUAGAUGAUAUAGAAGAAGAAGAUUCAACUUUGUUAUCGUAAAUUUGAUUAUAAAUGAUUUAAUGGGUUAGCGGAGUUCACGUGGAAGGAGGAGAGGUAUCUUGGGAGCCAGCAACUGCACCAGUUGAUCUCGUCAUGCCUGAGGUGGUGGCUGGGAAUGAGGGGAGCAUUAAGCUCUUAUAUUUUUGUUGUCUUUUAUUCUCUUUUGAGCUAGUUUUGUUUCAAUUAGUAUUUAGUCAAAAGAUGUUUGGGGUUUUUCUUAGCUCGAUACUACGAACCUCUAUUAUUCUCAUAGCAGAAUGAAUCUUUUCACACUGAUUAAUUGUAGUUAAUGAAUGGUUAGGACUCAUAGGAGGAUUACUCGAGUUAAA
Molecule: long non-coding RNA, 1260 nt
Organism: Papaver somniferum (opium poppy)
Lineage: Eukaryota; Viridiplantae; Streptophyta; Magnoliopsida; Ranunculales; Papaveraceae
Exons: 3
Source: RefSeq, a predicted model, not a curated record